GACGAACGCUGGCGGCGUGCCUAAUACAUGCAAGUCGAGCGGACUUUCAAGAAGCUUGCUUUUUGAAAGUUAGCGGCGGACGGGUGAGUAACACGUGGGCAACCUGCCUGCAAGACGGGGAUAACUCCGGGAAACCGGGGCUAAUACCGGAUAAUAUCUUCCUUCGCAUGAAGGAAGGUUGAAAGGCGGCGCAAGCUGCCGCUUGCAGAUGGGCCCGCGGCGCAUUAGCUAGUUGGUGAGGGAACGGCUCACCAAGGCGACGAUGCGUAGCCGACCUGAGAGGGUGAUCGGCCACACUGGGACUGAGACACGGCCCAGACUCCUACGGGAGGCAGCAGUAGGGAAUCUUCCGCAAUGGACGAAAGUCUGACGGAGCAACGCCGCGUGAGCGAAGAAGGUCUUCGGAUCGUAAAGCUCUGUUGUCAGGGAAGAACAAGUACCGUUCGAACAGGGCGGUACCUUGACGGUACCUGACCAGAAAGCCACGGCUAACUACGUG
This 499-nucleotide ribosomal RNA is filed under the name uncultured bacterium. Its description in RNAcentral is "partial 16S ribosomal RNA". It matches the Rfam family "Bacterial small subunit ribosomal RNA", at positions 28 to 507 of the family's 1533-position model. The record is from RNAcentral.